GACGAACGCUGGCGGCGUGCCUAAUACAUGCAAGUCGAACGAACCGCGACUAGGUGCUUGCACUUGGUCAAGGUGAGUGGCGAACGGGUGAGUAACACGUGGGUAACCUACCUCAUAGUGGGGGAUAACAGUCGGAAACGACUGCUAAUACCGCAUAGGACAUAGGAUCACAUGAUCCAGUGAGGAAAGGUGGCGCAAGCUAUCGCUAAGAGAUGGACCCGCGGUGCAUUAGCUAGUUGGUAGGGGAAAGGCCUACCAAGGCGAUGAUGCAUAGCCGACCUGAGAGGGUGAUCGGCCACAUUGGGACUGAGACACGGCCCAAACUCCUACGGGAGGCAGCAGUAGGGAAUCUUCCGCAAUGGACGCAAGUCUGACGGAGCAACGCCGCGUGAGUGAAGAAGGUCUUCGGAUCGUAAAGCUCUGUUGUUAGAGAAGAACAGCGCAUAGAGUAACUGUUAUGCGUGUGACGGUAUCUAACCAGAAAGCCACGGCUAACUACGUG
RNAcentral lists this ribosomal RNA (502 nucleotides) under uncultured bacterium. RNAcentral describes it as "partial 16S ribosomal RNA". It matches the Rfam family "Bacterial small subunit ribosomal RNA", at positions 28 to 507 of the family's 1533-position model. The record is from RNAcentral.